UAGUAAUAAGUGUAAUAUAGGAGUGUGUUUGCGAAAAUGAUAUUUCAGCGAAAGACUUUAAGCGAGCGCAAUCGGCCCAGUUUUACAAGCUUAGCUAAAUCCUGUGCCAUGAAGGAGAAGAGUAAAAAUGCCGCUCGCACUAGACGUGAAAAGGAAAAUGCGGAAUUCUUCGAACUGGCCAAAUUACUACCACUACCAAGUGCAAUUACAUCACAGUUGGACAAGGCGUCCAUCAUAAGAUUAACAACAUCGUAUCUGAAAAUGCGUCAAGUCUUUCCCGAUGGUCUGGGCGAGGCGUGGGGCACUUCACCGGCAAUGCAACGCGGCGCUAUCAAAGAGCUUGGCUCACAUUUGCUGCAAACAUUGGACGGUUUCAUAUUUGUUGUGGCACCGGAUGGCAAAAUUAUGUACAUCUCCGAAACGGCAUCCGUACAGCUGGGACUCAGUCAGGUUGAACUCACCGGCAAUUCCAUAUUUGAAUAUAUACACAACCACGAUCACGAUGAGAUGAACGCUAUACUCUCACUGCAUCCUUAUAUGUACCAAAAUCCGGAUGCAUUUAUUAAUUCAUUACAUCUACCACAGAGCGGCAAUCCACCCACCGGCCAUGCGAACGUCAUCGGCAGUCCGAAUGGCAGCUAUGGCAAUGAUCGUGGUUCGCAUACGAUCGAAUUGCAAAAAUCCUUCUUCCUGCGCAUGAAGUGUGUGCUGGCGAAACGGAACGCUGGACUCACCACAUCUGGUUAUAAGGUUAUUCACUGCUCUGGCUACUUGAAAGCGCGCAUAUUUCCUGACUAUGGCGACGGUCAUGGCGGUUACAUACAAAAUUUGGGCCUUGUAGCUGUCGGUCACUCUCUGCCUUCGUCUGCGAUAACGGAAAUUAAAUUACACACAAACAUGUUUAUGUUUCGGGCGUGUAUGGAUCUGAAAUUAAUAUUUUUAGAUGCGAGGGUAUCCCAACUCACCGGCUAUGAACCGCAAGACCUCAUAGAGAAAACCCUCUAUCAGUACAUACACGUUGCGGACAUUGGAGCCAUGAGCUGCGCCCACCAAACACUGGUAUACAAAGGACAAGUCACCACCAAAUACUAUCGCUUCCUGACGAAGGGCGGCGGCUGGGUCUGGGUGCAGUCGUACGCGACCGUCGUGCACAACACACGCUCCUCGCGCACUCACUGCAUCGUCAGCGUAAAUUAUGUCCUUAGUGAACAAGAGGCCAAAGACUUGAUUCUCAAUGAAAUACAAACGGGUGUGGUUAAGAGCGAGCCAAUCACCGCUUCGGCUGCGUUGACGCCAUCUUUGCAUGCGGCACACGCAGCUGCCGUCGCCACACACCCGGCGCUAAGCAAUGGCAUUGCCGUUGGCAGUACGGCGAGUUGCGCGGCGCUCAGCGUGAGUCCCAAACUGGACGCGUGUUUUGAGAGUGCUGGCGUACAUCUACCACCAAACGUGCUUACACCGGUGUUGACUGGCGGCAGCAGCAGCAGUGGUGGCGGCGGCGCCGGCAACGGCGUAGCGCAUAACAAUAACAACAAUAAUGCCUAUAUGACGGGACAUAUAAUGCACACGCAACUGCCGCAUCAUCAGCACGCGCAUCUGCAUGCACAUCCGAAUGCGCAUGUGCACACACAGCACGCGCAUCAUCUGCAUCACGUGCAUCCGCAUGCGCAUGCUCACGAAGUGCCGCUACCACCGCAAACACAACACGAAAACCUCAACUAUACAACGCUCUUCCCGCCGAUCAACGAUCUCGUGGUCACUUCAUCGACGCUCGGUCACGAAAUGCAAUACCCGGACACAACCACCGGCCCCGGCUACUACGGCGGCAGUGUCGGCACGAACAAUAGCAAUAACAACUCGGGCAGUGAACACUACUACUAUGAGGCGACGCCAUCAGCCACGUCACUCAAUCGACCGUACUCGGCGAAUUCCAAUAGCUGUUCCAGCAGCGCGGAAAGCGAGCGCCAAAUGUCCACCGGAAAUGCAUCGAUAAUAACGGGUAAUUCGCCGCAGACGACGUACAGCGAGUUGAGUCACACAUUUGAAUUGCAUUACUUGUCGGAUAGCAGUUCGCAUCAACAGGCCGCUAUGGCGGGACCACCGACUACACAACAACAACAGCAGCAACCACAACAACAUCACCUACAAUCUAUGGAACAUCAUCAACACGCGCAUCAUCACCAAACACAUCAGCUGCAGCAACAAAACUUGGCGUCCAGUCACAUUGCCACGCUGCAACAGCCAGCGACGCCACAGUCUCAGUCACAACAACAACAACAAAUGGAGCACCAGCAAAUGCAUCAGCAUCAUCAAACAACGCUGGUUGCACAUCAACUACAACAACACGAGCAUGAACAACUACAACAGCAGCAGCAACAACAACAACAGCAUGAGCAUAUUGCGCGCUCAUUCGCCGUGGCCGUGGAGAAGGGCGUCAGCGUGCCGCCACAAUACACCAGCGUCAUUGUUGACCCCCAUCAUCAUUAUAUACCCAACGAUUUUGUACAUUAGCAUUUGCUAGCUGGUACGAUCCACAGGAUCGGUAGCAGUCAAGCACGUAUUGUGCUCUUAUUGGGGGCGCCUUGGGUGUCGUCAUGUUGCUAUGACCUUAUAACGGGUCGCAGCGCAAUGUUGUUGUUAAUUUUAAUAGUUCUAAUUACUGCUAAUUAAAUUGGACUGAGUCACAAAAAUACAUAUAUUCGAAUAUGGUCUGCAAUAGCUGUGGAAAAGGCCGCAUAUGCAGUUUUACACCAGAAGAGCUAUGAGAACCCAGCAGGCAUUUUAAUGCGAAUAAAUUGCCAAAAUUGUUUUAUUUAAGGCAAGUUUAAUCAAAUUAAUUAAAUUUUUUUUUCCAAAAAGUUAGU
This 2864-nucleotide unclassified non-coding RNA is filed under the name Bactrocera tryoni. RNAcentral's name for it is "protein single-minded, transcript variant X4". The record is from RNAcentral. Lineage: Eukaryota; Metazoa; Arthropoda; Insecta; Diptera; Tephritidae.